RNAcentral lists this ribosomal RNA (868 nucleotides) under uncultured Bacillota bacterium. Its description in RNAcentral is "bacterial SSU rRNA". It matches the Rfam family "Bacterial small subunit ribosomal RNA", at positions 58 to 922 of the family's 1533-position model. Lineage: Bacteria; Bacillati; Bacillota. The record is from RNAcentral.
CAAGUCGAGUGCGCAGUUUUCUGUAGCAAUACAGGGAAUGGGCGCACGGCGCACGGGUGAGUAACACGUGGGCAACCUGCCCUCCAAAAGGGGAUAACCCGCCGAAAGGCGGGCUAAUACCGUAUGACAUUGCGAUUGCCUCGGCGAUUGCAAUCAAAGGCCGCAAGGCCGUUGGGGGAGGGGCCCGCGCCCGAUUAGCUAGUUGGCGAGGUAACGGCUCACCAAGGCAUUGAUCGGUAGCCGGUCUGAGAGGAUGGCCGGCCACACUGGAACUGAGACACGGUCCAGACUCCUACGGGAGGCAGCAGUGGGGAAUCUUGCGCAAUGGGCGAAAGCCUGACGCAGCGACGCCGCGUGGGGGAUGAAGCAUCUCGGUGUGUAAACCCCUUUCGACCCGGAAGAAUGUCCCGCAAGGGAUUGACGGUACGGGUAUAAGAAGCCCCGGCUAACUACGUGCCAGCAGCCGCGGUAAGACGUAGGGGGCCAGCGUUGCUCGGAAUUACUGGGCGUAAAGGGUUCGUAGGCGGUGCGGCAAGUCGGAAGUGAAAUCUCCAGGCUCAACUUGGAGGCUGCUCCCGAAACUGCCGCGCUAGAGUGCGGGAGAGGCCAGUGGAAUUGCAGGUGUAGCGGUGAAAUGCGUAGAUAUCUGCAGGAACACCCGUGGCGAAGGCGGCUGGCUGGACCGCAACUGACGCUGAGGAACGAAAGCUAGGGGAGCAAACAGGAUUAGAUACCCUGGUAGUCCUAGCCCUAAACGAUCAGGACUUGGGGUGCAUCCCGACGGGGUGCGUCCCGUAGCUAACGCGUUAAGUCCUGCGCCUGGGGAGUACGGUCGCAAGACUGAAACUCAAGGAAUUGACGGGGGCCC